AUCGCUUCUCGGCCUUUUGGCUAAGAUCAAGUGUAGAAAAUACACUUUGAUAUAUAUCAGAGAGAGAGAGAGAGAGAGAGAGAGAGAGAGAGAGAGAGUUAGGUCUCAAAAAUAUCCCCAACACUCCAAAUUUGCCUUUACUUUAGGAGUAAUUAAU
This 157-nucleotide small RNA is filed under the name Marmota monax (woodchuck). Lineage: Eukaryota; Metazoa; Chordata; Mammalia; Rodentia; Sciuridae. The record is from RNAcentral.